AAGUCGUAACAAGGUUUCCGUAGGUGAACCUGCGGAAGGAUCAUUAACAAAUUCACUUUUAAAAAUGACAUUCGCGAUAACAAACGAAUGUUAUACCCCAAUUUGUUGAACUUUGUUUCUUUUUCACCUGGUCGUUUUUGGCUGCGAGGGAUUUUUCCUUCGUAAGUCUAAAAAUGUCCUAUUUUUUUUAAAAAACCCAAUGAAUCCUAAUUUGACUGAAACUUUCUUUUUUUUCAAACGAAAAAAAGGAAAAAAAGUUAAUGAGAAAAAACAACUCUUAACAACGGAUAUCUUGGCUCUC
Molecule: unclassified non-coding RNA, 301 nt
Filed under: fungal sp.
Lineage: Eukaryota; Fungi
Description: partial internal transcribed spacer region
Rfam family: Eukaryotic small subunit ribosomal RNA (bases 1-46)
Source: RNAcentral